GACUCCAUAGCUAAGUGGUUAUAGCAUGAGAUUGCAGUUAUUACCUUAAGUCGGUAAUUGUGUGACAAUCUCGGGGUCGCGUGUUCGAGUCACGCUGGGGUCU
This is a non-coding RNA of Armillaria fumosa, 103 nucleotides long. The record is from the annotation of a GenBank genome assembly. NCBI's taxonomy places the organism in Eukaryota, Fungi, Basidiomycota, Agaricomycetes, Agaricales, Physalacriaceae.